This 114-nucleotide Y RNA is filed under the name Propithecus coquereli (Coquerel's sifaka). RNAcentral describes it as "Y RNA (ENSPCOG00000005030.1)". It matches the Rfam family "Y RNA". Rfam says of the family: Y RNAs are components of the Ro ribonucleoprotein particle (Ro RNP), in association with Ro60 and La proteins. The Y RNAs and Ro60 and La proteins are well conserved, but the function of the Ro RNP is not known. In humans the RNA component can be one of four small RNAs -- hY1, hY3, hY4 and hY5. The record is from Rfam by way of RNAcentral. Lineage: Eukaryota; Metazoa; Chordata; Mammalia; Primates; Indriidae.
GGCUGGUCCAAAGGUAGUGAGUUAUCUCACUUGAUUUUUCACAGUCAGUUACAGAUUGAAUUCCUUGUUCUACUAUUUUUCCCCCUCCUCACUACUGCACUUGACUAGUCUAAA